Molecule: ribosomal RNA, 849 nt
Filed under: Micrococcus sp. 11590944
Lineage: Bacteria; Bacillati; Actinomycetota; Actinomycetes; Micrococcales; Micrococcaceae
Description: bacterial SSU rRNA
Rfam family: Bacterial small subunit ribosomal RNA
Source: RNAcentral
UGCAGUCGAACGAUGAAGCCCAGCUUGCUGGGUGGAUUAGUGGCGAACGGGUGAGUAACACGUGAGUAACCUGCCCUUAACUCUGGGAUAAGCCUGGGAAACUGGGUCUAAUACCGGAUAGGAGCGUCCACCGCAUGGUGGGUGUUGGAAAGAUUUAUCGGUUUUGGAUGGACUCGCGGCCUAUCAGCUUGUUGGUGAGGUAAUGGCUCACCAAGGCGACGACGGGUAGCCGGCCUGAGAGGGUGACCGGCCACACUGGGACUGAGACACGGCCCAGACUCCUACGGGAGGCAGCAGUGGGGAAUAUUGCACAAUGGGCGAAAGCCUGAUGCAGCGACGCCGCGUGAGGGAUGACGGCCUUCGGGUUGUAAACCUCUUUCAGUAGGGAAGAAGCGAAAGUGACGGUACCUGCAGAAGAAGCACCGGCUAACUACGUGCCAGCAGCCGCGGUAAUACGUAGGGUGCGAGCGUUAUCCGGAAUUAUUGGGCGUAAAGAGCUCGUAGGCGGUUUGUCGCGUCUGUCGUGAAAGUCCGGGGCUUAACCCCGGAUCUGCGGUGGGUACGGGCAGACUAGAGUGCAGUAGGGGAGACUGGAAUUCCUGGUGUAGCGGUGGAAUGCGCAGAUAUCAGGAGGAACACCGAUGGCGAAGGCAGGUCUCUGGGCUGUAACUGACGCUGAGGAGCGAAAGCAUGGGGAGCGAACAGGAUUAGAUACCCUGGUAGUCCAUGCCGUAAACGUUGGGCACUAGGUGUGGGGACCAUUCCACGGUUUCCGCGCCGCAGCUAACGCAUUAAGUGCCCCGCCUGGGGAGUACGGCCGCAAGGCUAAAACUCAAAGGAAUUGACGGG